AGUGUCAAGGGAUGGGAAUCGAACCCACGACCUUCCGCUUACCGGGCAGUCUACUUAUAUAAUUGCCUUAUUCUGUCUGUGUGACCGGGCAGAUGCCAUGACCACUAGGCUAUAGGCUC
Cordylochernes scorpioides is the source of this 119-nucleotide non-coding RNA. The record is from the annotation of a GenBank genome assembly. Lineage: Eukaryota; Metazoa; Arthropoda; Arachnida; Pseudoscorpiones; Chernetidae.